AGCUCCAAUAGCGUAUAUUAAAGUUGUUGCAGUUAAAAAGCUCGUAGUUGGAUUUCUGGCUAGGUGAAGCGUUCCCCAAGUUGGGUGCGAUGCGGCGCCUUGCCAUCCUUCUGUUAACCUGGGAAGCCUUAACGGCGGCCCACGGGGCUCAGAUAUUUUACCUUGAGAAAAUUAGAGUGUUUCAGGCAGGCUAGCGCCGGAAUACAUUAGCAUGGAAUAAUAGAAUAGGACUUCUGCCUCUUCUGUUGGUCUGAGGGGUUCAAGUAAUGAUUAAUAGGGAUAGUUGGGGGCAUUAGUACUUAACUGUCAGAGGUGAAAUUCUCGGAUUUGUUAAAGACUAACUUAUGCGAAAGCAUUUGCCAAGGAUGUUUUCAUUA
This 377-nucleotide ribosomal RNA is filed under the name Pelagostrobilidium sp. RNAcentral describes it as "partial small subunit ribosomal RNA". It matches the Rfam family "Eukaryotic small subunit ribosomal RNA", at positions 587 to 975 of the family's 1831-position model. RNAcentral also lists the same sequence under 1 other name. Lineage: Eukaryota; Ciliophora; Spirotrichea; Choreotrichida; Strobilidiidae. The record is from RNAcentral.